This 690-nucleotide long non-coding RNA is filed under the name Felis catus (domestic cat). RNAcentral describes it as "lncRNA (ENSFCAG00000051787.1)". The record is from RNAcentral. Lineage: Eukaryota; Metazoa; Chordata; Mammalia; Carnivora; Felidae.
UUUUUUAACGUGCAAUUUAUUUCUUAUAGAGCAAUGAGAAAUUUAAAUGUAAGAUUGGGAGAUUAUACUCCUUUUUACCCCUAACUCAAGCUUAUUUCACCAGGUGCUGUGGAUUUCCUUUCUCUGAAAACAUUUUUAUUUUCUCCUUGACUAGCAUGUGUUUUUCCCCAUGAUGUCAUUCUUUAGAAUGGAGAAAUUAUGAAGAGAUGGGAAAUGUCAGAUUUCAAUACCUGAAGGUGCCUGUCUCUGAACCUACUGGUUUGAAGUUUCUUCAUAUUUCCAUCUUUAGGAUGAACGGAAAUCUGAGCAGGAGGGGUACACCAAUCCAGUCCUUAUGAAGUCAACGAGAGAGAAAGCGCAUUGGGGAGCAGCAGAUAGAGGGAGACAGAGGAUCCAAAGUGGGCCCUGGCUGACAGUGGAGAGCCCAAUAUGAAGUUUAAACUCACAAACCAUGAAAUCAUGAGCUGAGCCAAAGUUGGACACUUAACUGGCUGAGCUACCCAGGUACCCCCCUUUAUUAUUAUAUAGUCCCUCUUUGUCUCUUUGUCUUCUUUAUUUUUGAGAGAGAGAGAGAGCAUGAGCAGGGGAAGCACAGAGAGAGAGGAGACAGGGAUCCAAAGUAGGUUCUGUGCUGACAGCAGACAGCCAGAUGUGGGGCUCCAGGUUACUAAACCAGCAGAUCAUGACCUG